AACAUGGAUUAGAUACCCGUCUAUUCAUGUCGUAAAGUUGGCCGGUUACUACAAAUCACAAUUUAAAAUCUAAAGAACUUGGCGGUGUCUUAUCAUACCAGGGGAACCUGUUCCUUAAUUCGAUAAUCCACGAAACCACUACCACUAAUUGAAAAAUCAGCUUGUGUACUGCCGUCAUCAGCAUACCUUAAAAAGAAAACAGUAUGCAAUAAUAAUAAAAAUUAAUUAUGUCAGGUCAUAGUACAGCCUAUUUAGUGGAGGAAAUGGGUUACAAUCAACAUAUAGAUACCAAAUCAAGAACUAAAGUUCUGACAAAAGGUGGACUUGGCAGUAAUGAAAAGUAGAAAAUUUUCAUGAAAAUAGAUCUAAGACAUGCACACAUCGCCCGUCACUCCCCUCUAAAGAGGAGAUAAGUCGUAACAAAGUAG
This 428-nucleotide ribosomal RNA is filed under the name Allonais inaequalis. Its description in RNAcentral is "partial small subunit ribosomal RNA". Lineage: Eukaryota; Metazoa; Annelida; Clitellata; Tubificida; Naididae. The record is from RNAcentral.